GGAGAGAUGACAGAGUGGUUUAUUGUGGUAGAUUGCUAAUCUAUUGUACAUUCUUAUUAUGUACCAAGGGUUCGACUCCCUUUCUCUCCU
RNAcentral lists this transfer RNA (90 nucleotides) under Flavobacteriales bacterium. RNAcentral's name for it is "tRNA-Ser". It matches the Rfam family "tRNA". Rfam says of the family: Transfer RNA (tRNA) molecules are approximately 80 nucleotides in length. Their secondary structure includes four short double-helical elements and three loops (D, anti-codon, and T loops). Lineage: Bacteria; Pseudomonadati; Bacteroidota; Flavobacteriia; Flavobacteriales. The record is from RNAcentral.